This 485-nucleotide ribosomal RNA is filed under the name uncultured Glomeromycotina. RNAcentral describes it as "SSU rRNA". It matches the Rfam family "Eukaryotic small subunit ribosomal RNA", at positions 591 to 1078 of the family's 1831-position model. Lineage: Eukaryota; Fungi; Glomeromycota. The record is from RNAcentral.
CCAAUAGCGUAUAUUAAAGUUGUUGCAGUUAAAAAGCUCGUAGUUGAAUUUCGGGGUUAGUAAGUUGGUCAUGCCUUCGGUAUGUACUGGCUUUACUGAUUCCUCCUUCUUGACGAACUGUAAUGUCAUUAAUUUGGUGUUGCAGGAAAUCAGGACUGUUACUUUGAAAAAAUUAGAGUGUUUAAAGCAGGCUUACGCUUGAAUACAUUAGCAUGGAAUAAUGAAAUAGGACGUUAAUUCUAUUUUGUUGGUUUCUAGGGUCGACGUAAUGAUUAAUAGGGAUGGUUGGGGGCAUUAGUAUUCAAUUGUCAGAGGUGAAAUUCUUGGAUUUAUUGAAGACUAACUACUGCGAAAGCAUUUGCCAAGGAUGUUUUCAUUAAUCAAGAACGAAAGUUAGGGGAUCGAAGACGAUCAGAUACCGUCGUAGUCUUAACCAUAAAUUAUGCCGACUAGGGAUCGGAUGAUGUUAAUUUUUUAAUGACUCA